This 468-nucleotide ribosomal RNA is filed under the name uncultured bacterium. RNAcentral describes it as "partial 16S ribosomal RNA". It matches the Rfam family "Bacterial small subunit ribosomal RNA", at positions 28 to 507 of the family's 1533-position model. The record is from RNAcentral.
GACGAACGCUGGCGGCGUGCUUAACACAUGCAAGUCGAACGGAAAGGCCCUGCUUUUGUGGGGUGCUCGAGUGGCGAACGGGUGAGUAACACGUGAGUAACCUGCCCUUGACUUUGGGAUAACUUCAGGAAACUGGGGCUAAUACCGGAUAGGAGCUCCUGCUGCAUGGUGGGGGUUGGAAAGUUUCGGCGGUUGGGGAUGGACUCGCGGCUUAUCAGCUUGUUGGUGGGGUAGUGGCUUACCAAGGCUUUGACGGGUCGCCGGCCUGGGAGGGUGACCGGCCACAUUGGGACUGAGAUACGGCCCAGACUCCUACGGGAGGCAGCAGUGGGGAAUAUUGCACAAUGGGCGGAAGCCUGAUGCAGCAACGCCGCGUGCGGGAUGACGGCCUUCGGGUUGUAAACCGCUUUCGCCUGUGACGAAGCGUGAGUGACGGUAAUGGGUAAAGAAGCACCGGCUAACUACGUG